RNAcentral lists this ribosomal RNA (532 nucleotides) under uncultured bacterium. RNAcentral's name for it is "partial 16S ribosomal RNA". It matches the Rfam family "Bacterial small subunit ribosomal RNA", at positions 355 to 903 of the family's 1533-position model. The record is from RNAcentral.
UGGGGAAUAUUGCACAAUGGGCGAAAGCCUGAUGCAGCAACGCCGCGUGAGUGAUGAAGGUCUUCGGAUUGUAAAGCUCUGUCUUUUGGGACGAUAAUGACGGUACCAAAGGAGGAAGCCACGGCUAACUACGUGCCAGCAGCCGCGGUAAUACGUAGGUGGCGAGCGUUGUCCGGAUUUACUGGGCGUAAAGGGUGCGUAGGCGGAUGUUUAAGUGAGAUGUGAAAUACCCGGGCUUAACUUGGGUGCUGCAUUUCAAACUGGAUAUCUAGAGUGCAGGAGAGGAGAAUGGAAUCCCUAGUGUAGCGGUGAAAUGCGUAGAGAUUAGGAAGAACACCAGUGGCGAAGGCGAUUCUCUGGACUGUAACUGACGCUGAGGCACGAAAGCGUGGGUAGCAAACAGGAUUAGAUACCCUGGUAGUCCACGCCGUAAACGAUGAGUACUAGGUGUAGGAGGUAUCGACCCCUUCUGUGCCGCAGUAAACACAUUAAGUACUCCGCCUGGGAAGUACGAUCGCAAGAUUAAAACUCU